This 505-nucleotide ribosomal RNA is filed under the name uncultured bacterium. RNAcentral describes it as "partial 16S ribosomal RNA". It matches the Rfam family "Bacterial small subunit ribosomal RNA", at positions 28 to 507 of the family's 1533-position model. The record is from RNAcentral.
GACGAACGCUGGCGGCGUGCCUAAUACAUGCAAGUAGAACGCACAGUUUAUACCGUAGCUUGCUACACCAUAGACUGUGAGUUGCGAACGGGUGAGUAACGCGUAGGUAACCUGCCUGGUAGCGGGGGAUAACUAUUGGAAACGAUAGCUAAUACCGCAUAAUAUUGAUUAUUGCAUGAUAAUUAAUUGAAAGGUGCAAUUGCACCACUACCAGAUGGACCUGCGUUGUAUUAGCUAGUAGGUGAGGUAACGGCUCACCUAGGCGACGAUACAUAGCCGAACUGAGAGGGGGAUCGGCCACACUGGGACUGAGACACGGCCCAGACUCCUACGGGAGGCAGCAGGAGGGAAUCUUCGGCAAUGGACGAAAGGCUGACCGAGCAACGCCGCGUGAGUGAAGAAGGGUUUCGGAUCGUAAAGCUCUGUUGUAAGAGAAGAACGGGUGUGAGAGUGGAAAGUUCACACUGUGACGGUAUCUUACCAGAAAGGGACGGCUAACUACGUG